This 429-nucleotide ribosomal RNA is filed under the name Acidobacteriota bacterium. RNAcentral's name for it is "Acidobacteria bacterium partial 16S ribosomal RNA". It matches the Rfam family "Bacterial small subunit ribosomal RNA", at positions 355 to 776 of the family's 1533-position model. Lineage: Bacteria; Pseudomonadati; Acidobacteriota. The record is from RNAcentral.
UGGGGAAUCUUCCGCAAUGGACGAAAGUCUGACGGAGCAACGCCGCGUGAGUGAUGAAGGCCUUCGGGUUGUAAAACUCUGUUGUCAGGGACGAACGUGCCGAUCUACAAUACAUUUCGGCAGUGACGGUACCUGACGAGGAAGCCACGGCUAACUACGUGCCAGCAGCCGCGGUAAUACGUAGGUGGCAAGCGUUGUCCGGAAUUAUUGGGCGUAAAGAGCAUGUAGGCGGGCUUUUAAGUCCGACGUGAAAAUGCGGGGCUUAACCCCGUAUGGCGUUGGAUACUGGAAGUCUUGAGUGCAGGAGAGGAAAGGGGAAUUCCCAGUGUAGCGGUGAAAUGCGUAGAUAUUGGGAGGAACACCAGUGGCGAAGGCGCCUUUCUGGACUGUGUCUGACGCUGAGAUGCGAAAGCCAGGGUAGCAAACGGG